RNAcentral lists this ribosomal RNA (434 nucleotides) under uncultured bacterium. Its description in RNAcentral is "partial 16S ribosomal RNA". It matches the Rfam family "Bacterial small subunit ribosomal RNA", at positions 29 to 507 of the family's 1533-position model. The record is from RNAcentral.
AGCGAACGCUGGCGGCAGGCCUAACACAUGCAAGUCGAACGAACCUUUCGGGGUUAGUGGCGGACGGGUGAGUAACACGUGGGAACGUGCCUUUAGGUUCGGAAUAACUCAGGGAAACUUGUGCUAAUACCGAAUGUGCCCUUCGGGGGAAAGAUUAAUCGCCUUUAGAUCGGCCCGCGUCCGAUUAGCUAGUUGGGUGAGGGUAUGGCUCACCAAGGCGACGAUCAGUAGCUGGUCUGAGAGGAUGAUCAGCCACAUUGGGACUGAGACACGGCCCAAACUCCUACGCGAGGCAGCAGUGGGGAAUCUUGCGCAAUGGGCGAAAGCAUGACGCAGCCAUGCCGCGUGAAUGAUGAAGGUCUUAGGAUUGUAAAAUUCUUUCACCGGGGACGAUAAUGACGGUACCCGGAGAAGAAGCCCCGGCUAACUUCGUG